Molecule: ribosomal RNA, 484 nt
Filed under: uncultured bacterium
Lineage: Bacteria
Description: partial 16S ribosomal RNA
Rfam family: Bacterial small subunit ribosomal RNA
Source: RNAcentral
UUGCACGCUGGCGGCAGGCUUAACACAUGCAGGUCGAGCGGGGAAAGGUAGCUUGCUCCCUGACCUAGCGGCGGACGGGUGAGUAAUGCUUAGGAAUCUGCCUAUUAGUGGGGGACAACAUCUCGAAAGGGAUGCUAAUACCGCAUACGUCCUACGGGAGAAAGCAGGGGACCUUCGGGCCUUGCGCUAAUAGAUGAGCCUAAGUCGGAUUAGCUAGUUGGUGGGGUAAAGGCCUACCAAGGCGACGAUCUGUAGCGGGUCUGAGAGGAUGAUCCGCCACACUGGGACUGAGACACGGCCCAGACUCCUACGGGAGGCAGCAGUGGGGAAUAUUGGACAAUGGGGGGAACCCUGAUCCAGCCAUGCCGCGUGUGUGAAGAAGGCCUUUUGGUUGUAAAGCACUUUAAGCGAGGAGGAGGCUACCGAGAUUAAUACUCUUGGAUAGUGGACGUUACUCGCAGAAUAAGCACCGGCUAACUCUGUG